UACGUAGGGGGCUAGCGUUGUCCGGAAUCAUUGGGCGUAAAGCGCGCGUGGGCGGCCAGAUAAGUCCGGUGUGAAAGUCACAGGCUCAACCUGUGAAUGCCGCUGGAAACUGUCUGGCUAGAGUCCGGAAGGGGCGAGUGGAAUUCCUGGUGUAGCGGUGAAAUGCGCAGAUAUCAGGAGGAACACCAAUGGCGAAGGCAGCUCGCUGGGACGGUACUGACGCUGAGGCGCGAAAGCGUGGGGAGCAAACAGG
This 253-nucleotide ribosomal RNA is filed under the name uncultured bacterium. Its description in RNAcentral is "partial 16S ribosomal RNA". It matches the Rfam family "Bacterial small subunit ribosomal RNA", at positions 524 to 776 of the family's 1533-position model. The record is from RNAcentral.